GAGCGGCUAGGACCCUCCCUUCCAGUCGUGCCGCUCUCGGGCACCAGAGCUCCUGACCGCUGCCCGGCCGGCGUCCUAAACGGAAGCCGACGCUGGUGGCAGCGGCGCGGCUCCGGGAGACCGGGAGGGGGCGGGCAGCCGGAGGAAACCGACACGCGGCAGCUCGGCGUGUGCGUUUCACUCGGGGGAAGCCCGGCGGUGAGAAGCGCCCGACCGCGGGCAGGGGCGCGCGGAAUCGCCGCCUCCGCCCUGACAGCCAGGCCCGUGUGAGUCGGGCCUCGGGGCGAGCAGCGGCUGGCGGCGUGGAGCCCGGGCGGCCGCAAGGCCGCGCGGGCGGCGGGCGUGUGUCGGCUCUCGCCGGAAGUUGCUAGGAGAUGGGACCGGAAGUUCCGCCCCUCCGCAAGAGAGGAAAACGGAAAGCCAAAGAAGACAAUCUAAAGAAGGGGAGAUGCGUCCGGCUGGAAGUGUCUGAGCCGGAGGGCCAAGUGGGGUUUGGGGAGAGUCCCCAAGCGGAUUUCUCUGGACAUUCUUCCCUUCCGUGUCCCAUGUCUCCUCACCCCACCCCGUCCCCCGCCCGCCCGCCGUAGAGGACCCCUGAGGGCGGCGCGUGAGCGCAGAGGGCGGCGCGGGGCGAGCGGCCGCUGUCCUGGGCCUUCCGGGCCCCGAACGGUGCCCGGCGCUUCUAGGCGGCCGUCUACGGGGACACGGUUUCUCUGCUGGGCCAGGCGCGUGCGCAACCCUAGAUGUUGAAGACAGUCUGUCGGUGGACUCCAAGAAAGGAUCCUCGGAGUCACGGGCCGCAGGGAGCCACGAGCCGAGUUCCGAUACUAAAGGGGAGGCAGAGCACCGAGUGUGGUGGCCGGCCAGUUGGGCAAUAAAAGCCGAAAACGCCCUAGGUGUUUAAAAAGCCCCCGCUGGACCGUUUUUAUUAACGGUAGUGACGCAGCGCAAGAAUUGUUAGGAAGAAAGUAAGGCACGACCGAAGCGUGGUCGUCCCCGCCGCCGCCUGCCCCUCUUGCGGGAGCAUCCGCGGACCUGAAGCUUACAGCCCUUCCCCGGAAACUCCAGAUCCAGGAAGGAAGACCGCGGCUUGCAAAGUGCUCUGACGGACACCUAUAUAGAGAUGAGAGGCGACAUCCCACUUGCGAUCAGCUUGAGACACCGCUUGCUCAGCAUUUUUGACUUUAUCUUGUGCGCAGAUGUUGAAGAGAGCAAGGAGGCCUUCACUGACGGGGCA
Long non-coding RNA from Aethalodelphis obliquidens (Pacific white-sided dolphin), 1237 nucleotides. RefSeq lists it as uncharacterized. Lineage: Eukaryota; Metazoa; Chordata; Mammalia; Artiodactyla; Delphinidae. The transcript has 3 exons. The record is from RefSeq and is a predicted model, not a curated record.